CAAUUUGAGGGCAUAUCUCUCAUUUCUGAAUGUAGUCUCAGUGCUACAAAUUUAUCUCUUUUCUUCUUAACCUUAUUGUGAUCCCUCACCAUCCAACAGGGUGCUUUUUGAAAGUGUAGUCUUGGUUAACACUCUACUUCAGACUAAGAAAUUACAUGCAGGAAGCCCUCUAUUCUUCAAGUCUUAGUUGCAUCAAGUAGAGGAAGGCUGGGUCAGGGAUUUGCAAGUGCUUUUGCUAUCACUGUUUUGUUCUUCUUCAGGUCUUUGUGCCCACGACAUCAUUGACAUGGCAAUUGUGACAACUGCUCAGCUGUCCACUCAAGCAGUUGAUAUGAUCAUUGUCUUGAAGGUCAGUGAUGAUUCCCUAACCACCAGAUCCAAUGCCUUAUUGUUGAUCAUCUUUCCAGAAAUCUCUGCUUCUCCAGAGGAAGCCAACAGUCACCAGAGGGAGGAAACAUGGAUUUGGGAAUAUAGAAGCAGGGAAGGGAUUCUUCAACCUUUAUCCUCUUCUGACUGCCAGUCUACAGCUGAACCCAACCUGGAGCCAACCAGGAAGAAGACUGGGAGAAACAAUCUGUGGGGUGAGUCUCCUGUGCACAGAGCAGAGAGAAAGGCAGAGAGCAAUUGGGAGCAGAGGGGCAAAUAGAAAAUAAUUAGCACCAUGGUUAAGGGCAUUACACCACAUUCCUCAAUUUAGAGAUAAUUAUUUUAGAGGUAAGUGAUUUAAAAAAGUUUCCUUCUCUAGAUGGAUAGCUACAUUUCAGCAUCACAAAUAAGAAUAAUGCUCUUUUGCCAUGACAUUCUGGAAGUUUGGAGUAAACUCUGUAGUCUGUGUGAGGUCAUUUGGCUUACCUAUCUGAGCUUCUC
RNAcentral lists this long non-coding RNA (867 nucleotides) under Vulpes vulpes (red fox). RNAcentral's name for it is "lncRNA (ENSVVUG00000019377.1)". Lineage: Eukaryota; Metazoa; Chordata; Mammalia; Carnivora; Canidae. The record is from RNAcentral.